RNAcentral lists this small nuclear RNA (104 nucleotides) under Octodon degus (degu). RNAcentral's name for it is "U4 spliceosomal RNA (ENSODEG00000025806.1)". It matches the Rfam family "U4 spliceosomal RNA". From Rfam's summary of the family: U4 small nuclear RNA (U4 snRNA) is a component of the major U2-dependent spliceosome. The structure of U4 snRNA from yeast and human has been reported. Lineage: Eukaryota; Metazoa; Chordata; Mammalia; Rodentia; Octodontidae. The record is from Rfam by way of RNAcentral.
AGCUUUGCGCAGUGGCAGUAUCGUAGCCAAUGAGGUUUAUCCGAGGCGCGAUUAUUGCUAAUUGAAAACUAUGAGGGAGGCAAUAUUUUAAUAUGUACUUUACA